RNAcentral lists this ribosomal RNA (346 nucleotides) under uncultured bacterium. RNAcentral describes it as "bacterial SSU rRNA". It matches the Rfam family "Bacterial small subunit ribosomal RNA", at positions 1 to 334 of the family's 1533-position model. The record is from RNAcentral.
AGUAGACGUUCAGAGUUUGAUCCUGGCUCAGGAUGAACGCUAGCGGCAGGCUUAACACAUGCAAGUCGAGGGGCAGCAUGAUAGGUAGCAAUACUUAUUGAUGGCGACCGGCGCAAGGGUGCGUAACGCGUGAGUAACAUGCCCGUAUCAGGAGGAUAACCCGGAGAAAUCCGGACUAAUACUGCAUAGUAUCGAUUUGAGGCACCUUGGAUUGAUUAAAGUUUCGACGGAUACGGAUUGGCUCGCGUGACAUUAGCUAGAUGGUAAGGUAACGGCUUACCAUGGCGACGAUGUCUAGGGGUUCUGAGAGGAAGGUCCCCCACACUGGAACUGAGACACGGUCCAG